RNAcentral lists this long non-coding RNA (411 nucleotides) under Eutrema salsugineum. Its description in RNAcentral is "long non-coding RNA (ESAL_LNC000540)". The record is from RNAcentral. Lineage: Eukaryota; Viridiplantae; Streptophyta; Magnoliopsida; Brassicales; Brassicaceae.
CGGUCUCUAAGCCGCCACAAGAAGGAGUUGUUAACAUUCAUCAACCUCAUGGUUCGGCUUCAAGUGAGGAAGAAGAGCGGAUAGAGGAAAGUCUACAAGGAACAGAAAAGGUAAAAACUUUGACUUUUUUUUUUAAUUCUCAAAAUGUGCAUUUGUUUGUGUUCAUUCAUAACUAAAAUCUUGAUUUUGUUGGAAUUGAAAAGCCAGAAGACAUUGUGAUGAGAGAGCUGAUGCAACAACAACAGCAACAACAAGAAUCAAUGAUAGGUGAGUAUGAAAAGAUUGAAGAGUCUCACAAUUAUAAUAACAUGGAGGAAGAUGAAGAGGAGCUUGAUGAAGAAGAAUUAGACGAGGAUGAGAAGUCCGCCGCUUAUGAGAUUGCGUUUCAGAGCCCUGCAAACAGAGGAGGCA